UACAGAGGGUGCAAGCGUUAAUCGGAUUUACUGGGCGUAAAGCGCGCGUAGGCGGCUAAUUAAGUCAAAUGUGAAAUCCCCGAGCUUAACUUGGGAAUUGCAUUCGAUACUGGUUAGCUGGAGUGUGGGAGAGGAUGGUAGAAUUCCAGGUGUAGCGGUGAAAUGCGUAGAGAUCUGGAGGAAUACCGAUGGCGAAGGCAGCCAUCUGGCCUAACACUGACGCUGAGGUGCGAAAGCAUGGGGAGCAAACAGG
This 253-nucleotide ribosomal RNA is filed under the name uncultured bacterium. Its description in RNAcentral is "partial 16S ribosomal RNA". It matches the Rfam family "Bacterial small subunit ribosomal RNA", at positions 524 to 776 of the family's 1533-position model. The record is from RNAcentral.